AACCAUGGAGCUAGUUCUUCCUAGGGUGGGGAUGAUUUUCCUAAUGCACCACCAGUUCCACCCUCUUUGGCUGAUGCAAUUGCAGCAUUGGUCAAUGCAACAACUCUGUUAGCACAGAACCAGAAUGUUGGUCAGCGUGGCCGUGGUCGCAAUAACCGAGAAGAAACCACAUAUGUUGACUUCACAGAUACCCGUCCCCC
Molecule: long non-coding RNA, 200 nt
Filed under: Sorghum bicolor (sorghum)
Lineage: Eukaryota; Viridiplantae; Streptophyta; Magnoliopsida; Poales; Poaceae
Description: long non-coding RNA (SBIC_LNC007066)
Source: RNAcentral